This 343-nucleotide unclassified non-coding RNA is filed under the name soil metagenome. Its description in RNAcentral is "partial contains 5.8S ribosomal RNA, internal transcribed spacer 2, and large subunit ribosomal RNA". The stretch from base 1 to 120 matches the Rfam family "5.8S ribosomal RNA", at positions 35 to 154 of the family's 154-position model. The record is from RNAcentral.
GAUGAAGAACGUAGCGAAAUGCGAUAAGUAAUGUGAAUUGCAGAAUCCAGUGAAUCAUCGAAUCUUUGAACGCACAUUGCGCCCGCCAGCAUUCUGGCGGGCAUGCCUGUUCGAGCAUCAUUUCAACCCUCGACCUCCCUUUGGGGAAGUCGGCGUUGGGGACCGGCAGCACACCGCCGGCCCUGAAAUGGAGUGGCGGCCCGUCCGCGGCGACCUCUGCGUAGUAAACCAACUCGCACCGGAACCCCGACGUGGCCACGCCGUAAAACACCCAACUUCUGAACGUUGACCUCGAAUCAGGUAGGACUACCCGCUGAACUUAAGCAUAUCAAUAAGCGGAGGA